RNAcentral lists this non-coding RNA (99 nucleotides) under Shewanella woodyi. Its description in RNAcentral is "c-di-GMP sequence". It matches the Rfam family "c-di-GMP-I riboswitch aptamer". Rfam says of the family: GEMM was predicted in a large-scale screen for bacterial structured RNA regulatory elements. RNAcentral also lists the same sequence under 1 other name. Lineage: Bacteria; Pseudomonadati; Pseudomonadota; Gammaproteobacteria; Alteromonadales; Shewanellaceae. The record is from RNAcentral.
CCAUGUAUUUGGCAAACUAGCUGAAAAGUUAGGACGCAAAGCUUCCGGUCUAAGGUGCAGGACUCACUGAGUGCUCAUUAAGAUAGCGGGGUUGCCACG